GUGAUAUUCAGCGCUGGAGAAUGUGGUGUCAUGAUGGAAACUGAGACAACCUGCCCCGUGGACCGUCUGCUAAACGGAGAUUGCUGUUGGUGAUAGUUUGACAAAGGACAGCAAGGGAAGCCACAUUGCUUGAGGGAUGGACUAUAUGACGUUUGGUAUUUCUCAUGACGGAGCUGACUGGUUGCCCUUAGGGAAAGAUGAUAGACUAUUUCAGACGCUCUGUAGCUCAUCUUAUGCCAUGAAUGAGACUCUUAGAAAACUGAACUCUGCGCUAGAAUUUGAGGGUCCUAGUUAUUGAACUGCUGAAAUCAACUGUUUAGUUCAAGCUCCAGCAAGUGAGCUGUUUAAAAUGAUCUUAUGCGCGUGAAGGUAGAAUGUGAUUUUUAAAAUGGAAGUGGGCGACGGGGGGAAGAAAAAAGGUUCGCGAGAUUAUCAGCGAGGGAGUAAUUGCUUCAGUUGCCUGCUUUGGAGCGUAGGACGCUGACGAAUGAAUUGUGGGCAUUGUCAUCUGUCUGAAGCUCUCAUGCCCUGAUUUACUCUGAAAGAGCUUGUUGGUUUACUACUGUAUGUAAUAGUAAUGGCUGUCAGACAUUAAAUGGAUUGGGUGGGAGAAAUGCAGAUACGAGUUUGAAUCCUGGCUCUAAGAAGGUGGCUCUCAAAGCAGUUUUAAAUGUCUUAGGUUUAAGGCAGAGGUGUUAUAGGUACACUGCAUUUCAAUCAGGUGCAUGUGAAAGUUUUCACCUUUGAUUUCUGGCAUGCUGCUUAGGCGUGGGCUGCAGAUAAAUUUCAUCUCACAUUUCAGGGACACUGAAGUCUGAGACUGAUAUUCGGCAACAAGUGGACACAGCUGCUUUUUUGUUCGUUCCCGGUGCUGCUCGAGUUUCUAUCCAAAUCGGUCUAACUUAGUUUGUUGUCCCUGACUUCUUUCAUGCUGACAUAUAUAAUGGUUUAGCUCUUAACUCUGAAAUUGAGAUGUGUGCCACUUAAGUUUAGGAUGCCAGUGCAUUAUGUCAUCAGUUAGGAGGCUGUCUGGACUAAGUUGUCACUUAAUAUACUAGCAGGCAUGCAAGUUCAGUUCUAUCACUACAAUGAUUUAAAUUGUAAAUAAUUAUAAUUUUGUAAGUCACUACCGGUUUUGAUUUGGUCUAAACAAAAAUACCCCCCCCCCA
This 1169-nucleotide long non-coding RNA is filed under the name Struthio camelus australis. RNAcentral describes it as "lncRNA (ENSSCUG00000007119.1)". Lineage: Eukaryota; Metazoa; Chordata; Aves; Struthioniformes; Struthionidae. The record is from RNAcentral.